AGCUGGGGUCUGCUGUGCUGUGAGGAGGAAGGGACAGGCAGUCGUGCAGGGGACAGAUAAGAGCACACAAGUGCUUCAACCCUGUUGUCUGCCACAAGAAAUGCCACUGAUGGCACUGGCAAAUGUCACCUCGAGCACUGCAGGCUCUGGACUUCAGCAGGCAAAACGCUGUCUGCAGUGAGAUACAAGCCCCAAGACCACCAGGAGAAGAGGUGAAUCUUUAUCUUAUCCAGUGGUUUUCUUCAAAACACCAGUAAUUGAGAGCCAAAAGUGCAGAGGAAGCAUUUAGGAAUCUGGCCAGCACACGCUCUCCAGCAGGUGCUGUGCAUGCUGUGUGUGACCCCAGUAUUUUCAGACCACCCAGGACUGGGAUAAACUGGUUUGCUGCAGCUGUGUUCUGCUUAAGCCCUGCAGAGCAUCAUCUGCUUUACAUCUAGGAAUCAAGUCCUGGGUUAUUUUUAUUCCCAGAGGCUCAAGCUGGAAGGAAUCAGCAGCACCUUGGUGCCACCUUUCACCCUUCCCAGAACAGGAGUUGGCUUGAUGAUCCUUGUGAGUCCGUUCCAGCUCAGGAUAUUCUUUGAUCCUGUGGUAACUUCCACAGCAGCAAGUUCUCUAACCAAGGACUUGGCCAACAGGAUGGUUUGCUGUGAAUAUAUAAGGGGAUAUAUCAGGAUUUGUGUUCCAUGCUCAGGCUCACAUCCAAAGCUACUGGAUGGCAAAGCUGCUGCUGAGCCCUGUGUCUGUGGUCUUUACUGGGAGAUGUUUCAUUAAAGACUCCAGCUCCCAGUGGAGGUAAUCUUCCCCCAAACCAGAACUCACCUGACCUUCAUCUGAAACCUCUGGUAUUUUUCCAUUACCAAACACUGAGAGGGAACCAGUCUUCUUAGCCAGUGCAUUUAUAAAGAUUAUGCCGUCUACAGCACUGUUUUAGAAAAAGGUUUUCACUGGACAUCUAUUUUUCCUCAUUCCUUCUAAUGAGUAUUUGGCCGAGGAAAGCUCCAGCUCCCUUUCAAAUGCUCCUUGUCCUUGGUUGACCAGCUAGGAAAUGCUUCACCAGCUAUCUGUCUUCACCCUAAAUGCCUCACUGCAGGAUGAAGGGGGCUCUCCUGGUACUGAUCCCCAUGCAUCCUGACAGGUCCAUGCAGCCCGGAUACCUGGUGACAAAUGAAGAGUGACUGAUAUUCCCUUCAUACCCAGCAGCCACUAACCCUGCUGGAGUUGUUCUGUCACAGUGGAGACUAUGGGAAGGAUGGUUCUGCAAGCCUUUUAUACCUAAAACACAGCUAUUUAUAGCCUGAAUACUGCGCAGGAAUGACGGGAAGUGAAUCAUUAAAGAUGUUUUCAUUACGUGAACAAUCCUAAGGAAAAUAUUCCUUCCUGAAGAUGCACAUGUUGUCUGCUGCCACACUGGCAGCUGUACACAGCAGGGCUUUGCUCUUUUCAGAUCUGGCUAAUUUAGGAGAAGAACCUUAUUAGUGAUCUGGUGGAAGACCUCUAAGCCAAGUUUGGCAUGAAGGAGUCUCUCUUUUUGUCAUGGAUUUUUCUGGGUGAAUCCAUACCAAACUUGCAAAUCUUGCUGUCCAGGAAGGAAGUCACUCCCCAGCUGGCUGGAGUUGUCAUCCAUGGGCAGAGGUAGUUUAUAAAGGCUCCAGGACUUCCCUCAGGUCUGCUUUCUGCCCUGCUCCCACCAUCUCUCAACACCUUUCACCUCAGUUUCCCACCUGCAGUCUGGACCUGGUGACUGGGUCCUGUGCAGCAGGUGUUAGCUGAUGGUGUUCAUUACUGUUAAUUAUUGCACCCUUUGAAAUAAAUUAAUGAGGACCCUACUGUGAGAAGAGACCAAAAAUAGGCUGCUUCAGCAUGCACCAGGAUGAUUAUUUGUGGAGAAAUCUUGAAAUAGCAAAAGGGAUGCACGGGAUUGUCAGAGGAGCUUCUCUUUGCCCACAGCCUAUAAAUAGCCUGACACUGGGAGCUGAGGAGGGAGUUUUAAUUAAAUAGAAUUGUCUAUAAAAUCAUCAAAAAUGUAAGUUUGGGCAUGCUGAUCCUCUCUGGUAUUUUCUGCUGUUGUCUUGGAUCUCAGCCAACUUUAAGCUUUAAAAAUUUUAAGAUACUUCUGGCAGAAACAGGGAAAGACAGGUAACUAAUUUUCUAUAUGUUUCAGGCAGGACACACUACAUUAUGCAUAUAUAAAAUAGCUUGAAAUGCAGGCCCUGUCAUGCCAGGAAAACAUUUGCGAGGAAUUAUGCCCAUCCUGGUUUCAGCUAGGGUAGAAUUCAUCUCUUCUCAG
This is a long non-coding RNA of Hirundo rustica (Barn swallow), 2287 nucleotides long. RefSeq lists it as uncharacterized. NCBI's taxonomy places the organism in Eukaryota, Metazoa, Chordata, Aves, Passeriformes, Hirundinidae. The record is from RefSeq and is a predicted model, not a curated record. The transcript has 3 exons.